This 306-nucleotide ribosomal RNA is filed under the name Armadillo officinalis (oak-woodland pillbug). RNAcentral's name for it is "partial small subunit ribosomal RNA". Lineage: Eukaryota; Metazoa; Arthropoda; Malacostraca; Isopoda; Armadillidae. The record is from RNAcentral.
CCUCCCCCGCCGCUGGUCGCAUUCGUACUUCUACUUUUAGUGCUGCUACCACUACUCUUUUCAUUUCCGGAACUCGCGCUUCACUGGCGACCGAACCCUUCCGGGAGACGACGGAUGAGAGAAGGAGACGAGAGAAGGGAACGAGCAGCAGCAGUGACUACUCGCGACCGACCCCCCUCGACCUCUCGCCGCCGCGGCCGCCGAACGAGAAAGCGGGAGUGACGCCUUAGACCCCUUAGGCGCCACGGCGCUAGCGUCCGGAGACGAGGGCGCGAGCCUCGGGUGGGCUCCCGGUUCGCAUCAGAA